UCACUGUAUAUCUUGCCGUUAGCAGCUGC
This 29-nucleotide small RNA is filed under the name Bombyx mori (domestic silkworm). Its description in RNAcentral is "ovarian small RNA-25463". Lineage: Eukaryota; Metazoa; Arthropoda; Insecta; Lepidoptera; Bombycidae. The record is from RNAcentral.